RNAcentral lists this small RNA (522 nucleotides) under Drosophila mojavensis. Its description in RNAcentral is "GI26952". The record is from RNAcentral. Lineage: Eukaryota; Metazoa; Arthropoda; Insecta; Diptera; Drosophilidae.
UUUGUCGCGUUCGCCUGCAGCGAGAUUCCGUGCAAAGUUUGAUUUUGUGUGUUUUCAGAAGUUCAACGAGUUUCUGAGUUUUCGAAGUGCGUGCACACAUUUAGAUUAUUAAAACACCUUGCCAAAUAUACAUAUAUUUUUUUCGAGUGCUUGGAGCGCCACUCGUACAGCUGUUGGUAUCGUAAAGUUUGAUUGACAGUUACCAGUAUAUCAGCUGCAGCGUGCAUCAGUCAAUACAAAAGCCGAAGCCCCGCUCUGGCCAGGACAACAGCAAUAAGUGCGCAACACCAAUGCGUCCCAUCAACACAGCUCAGCAUGGAGCAGUGUAACUAGAGCGCGCACAUCCAACAGUCGGCCAACCAGGUGGACAGCGAAUAGCGGAAGCAAUACCUUCAAAGUCUAAAGCCGUCGCAACCAAGGCCGUCAAAUUGGAAGGAAAACGCCUUUUCACGGCAGUUAACAAGUUUUUAACUGGUUCAACAAUUGCCCGCGAGCUGAGGCAGCUAAUGACGAAGAACGCGC